Long non-coding RNA from Loxodonta africana (African savanna elephant), 23178 nucleotides. RefSeq lists it as uncharacterized. The transcript has 7 exons. NCBI's taxonomy places the organism in Eukaryota, Metazoa, Chordata, Mammalia, Proboscidea, Elephantidae. The record is from RefSeq and is a predicted model, not a curated record.
GGCUGAAAUUUCUGGCAGUGCCCUGUUGAUGUACUGCUGCAAUCAUUUUUUAAUUAUCUUCAGCAUAAUUUUACUUGCAUGUGACAUUAAUGAUAUUGUUCAAUAAUUUCUGCAUUGUAUUGGAUCACUUUUCUUUGGAAUGGGCUCAAAUAUGGAUGUCUUCCAGUUUGUUGGCCAGGUAGCUGUUGUCCAGAUUUUUUUGGCAUAGGCAAGUGAUCUAUGCUUUCAGUGUUACAUUCAUUUGUUGAAACAUCUCAAUUGGUAUUCUAUUAAUUCCUAGAGGCUUGUUUUUCAGUGCAGAUUGGAUUUCUUCUUUCAGUAACAUCAGUUCUUGAUCAUAUGCUACCUCCAGAAAUGGUUGAACAUCGACCAAUUCUUUAACUGCUGUAGGAUUACCAUUCAAGCCAAAGAUCAUGUAGGAGUUAUGUGGAGGACUGAUCUAGAAAGAAUCAGGUAGGUACUGUGGGUGAACACCUUCUCUCAAUGUAUGGGAGUGAUUGAGCUACAUAUGAUGUUGGUUUCUCUCUGGUUUUGAAUCGUGACCACAAGAAGGUACUUAACCACAGAUUAACUAUUCCUGGGUUGAGAUGACUGUUAAUAAUGACAGUCAGGUGUCAGGCACUCUUUUGCAUAAAUAAAUACAUCAUGUCAAUUAAUACUUUCACUAAGGGGUAGGUGUUAUUGUCCCCAUGGUUCAAAUGAGGAAAUAGGAGUUGAGCCAAAUUAAGUAUCUUGCUCAAGGUCACAUAAGAAGUGACAGAGCUGAGCAUAGAACCUGGGCUUAACUGAUUUCACUCUAUUUAGCAUCAGCACUGGGGAAAUCAAUUCUCUUGAAUGCCCUCCUGACUUAUUUCUCAGUCCUUGGGGCAAAGGUUACCCCUAGAAUUACCUGGUUUGCUUUUUAAAUAAAUCCAGUAACCAGUGUCAAACCAAUUACAUCAGAAUCUUUGGGCAUGGGGGUUGGACAACUGUAUUUUUGUUUUGGUUUCCCAGUUAUGUGGCAAUAUGUGGUUAGUGUUAAGAAAUGCUGCCUUUCAGUUUCUCAAAAAGUUAAACAUAGAACUACCAUGUGACCCUGCAAUUCCACUCCGAGGUACAUAUCCAAGAGACUUGAAAGCAGCAACACAAACAGACACGUGUACACCGAUGUUCACAGCAGCACUAUUCAACAACAGCCGAAGAGUGGAAACAACCUACAUGUCCAUUAACAGAUGAAUGGGUAAAGAAAAUCUGGCACAUACACACAAUGGAAUAUUACUCAGCCAUAAAGAGAAAUGAAGUCCUGAUGCAUGCUACAACAUGGAUGAACCUUGAAAACGUGCUGAGUGAAUGUCUAGUGGAGCUGCCUGCAUUUGAAGGGACGGUUUCCAGGAGAGGGGGCAAGGGAUGCAACUGCAGUGGCCCCAGAUGGCAUCAUGCACUUGGCAUCCCGCACUCGCCCUUUUUGCGGACUUCCCCGCUGCAAGUGAAGGCAGCAAGAAGACAAACUGCCUUCGCAACCUCGAGAAACAGGCCGGCACUUUACUCCUAAGAAAGGCUGAGGGCAGCUACACUUGUCCUGGUGAAAGACUGGCCGUUUCCAUGUAUGGCUUCUGCUCUGAGGAACCCUUGUCAACCAAAGAUUGGCACAGGGUUUGUGAAGUGUGAGAGUGCUCCAGAGCCAACUGGAUGACAAAGUUAUCUAAAAGGCUGUGAACUUCCAUCAUAAACUGUGCCCACCACAACAUGGGAUGAUAACAGUUGAUUGACUUGACUUUAGGACAUGUUCAAGUCUCAUCAGCUGUGAGAACCUGGACCAGUAAGUGAUUUAAUAAAGGUGCCAUGAUAAAUGGAUCGUUGUGUCAACUGCUAACUCAUGAUGACCCCAUGCACAACAGGAUCUGACCACUGUGAUCCAUAGGGUUUUCGUUGGCUGAUUUUUCAGAAGUAGAUUGCCAGGCCUUUCUUCCUAGUUCCUUGUGGCCUGGAAGCUCCACUGAAGCCUGUUCAGCAUCACAGCAACAUGGAAGCCUCCACUGACAAAUGGGUGGUAGACCCACCCAUCCCUAGGUUUUACUUGGAUUCUGAGAGGGCUCUGAGAAGAGGACUGUUGGUGGCAGAAGUCCACUAAAAAAGAAAAGAAAAGAAAAAGGUGUGAAUUGGAGACACUUUGGAUCCUGGACAGUCUGUCCCACUUGCUGUGUUUUAUAGGGCAAGUGGUUUCAUCUCUGCAUCUUAGAUACUUUUCAUGGUCUAUGAAUGGCAUUGGAACAUACAACAUUAACUCUGCGUGUUGCUUGAAGAAUCAUUCUAGUAGCUUCAGAAAGCCUAGAAGUGAUGAAGCAGAACUCUAGAUGACUUCAUGGGGAAGGAAUGUGUGGCCUGGAGCAGAGUCACAAGUGACUCAGGACAGCCAGGAGAGCAUUCGGGGGUACACAAAAAGAAACUACAAGCUGGGGUCAAGAUCAGGGGUCUGAAUUUUCUUGAAUGGUGCUGGAGAACAUAGGACUAUUUGAAGCAUUGAAACCUAAUGAGAUUGCCCUGUUGUGUUUCAGACUUUCUUGGUGCUUGUGGCCCCUUCUUUCUCUCUAGUUUCUCCCCUUUGGAAUGGGAAUGUUUACCCUGUGUUGGUCCCACCACUGUACUUUGGCAGCAGAUAACGUGUAUUCUGGGUUUCACAGGCCCACAGGUAGAGAAGAAUUUUGCCCCCAGGAUGGAUCAUACCCAGAGUCUUACCUGUACCUGAUUUAGAUGAUUUAGAAGAUGAGAUUUUGGGGGCUGGAAUGGGUUAAGGCUUUCAGGGAUGCUGAGAUGGGAUGAAAGUAUUUUGUGUGCAGGAAGGACAUGAAUUUUAGGGAGCCAGAGGGUGAACUGUUGUCAACUGAAUUGUGUCCCCCCAAAAGCUAUGUUGAAGUCUUAACCCCUGUACCUGUGAAUAUGACCUUGUUAGAUAAUAGGGUCUUUCUUUGAAGAUGUUAUCAUCUACAUUAAUGAGUCCAUAUGGGAGCAGGAUGGAUCCUAAUUCUUCUGAGCAAACUCUUAUAAAAGCAGAUCACCUAAAAGAAGAAUGGAACAUUCCAGAGGGUACAGCUCAGAGACUGAGGGCCAGCUGAGUGAUCCUCGUGCCUACUUAUGUAUACUUUUUCCCAAGGACCCACAAGUAAGGUAAUGCAAGGGGAGGAAAAGCAGACACAUGGAGUGAAUGAAUGCCUAGGGAAUUACAGCACAUGGAAUAUUAACCAUGAUGAAUAUUUUAGGAGAGCGAAGCUGAAAUAAAGAGAAAAGCUGUGAGCCCUCUGAAGGAAGGUGCUCUGAGAGGCCUGGAGGUUUCUUGACUUGGGUGGAGCAUUUUAAGCAAGGGGCCCUUAGGCUUUUCUGCCCAAAGACCACCCUGGCUUGGCUCUUAUUAUUUCUCCUGUAGUUCUCUCCUCAGAACCUUCCUGGGCCAUAUGCAGGUGCCAGCCAAUUUUGACUGCAUUGUUGUUAGUUGUCAUGGAGUCGAUUUCCACUCAUGACGACUCCAUGUGUACAGAGUAGAACUGCUCUGUAGAGUUUUCAAGGUUGUGACAUUUAGGAAGCAGGCCUGUCUUCCAAGACACCUCUGGGUGGGUUUGAACCGCCAACCGCUCAGUUAGUAGUUCAGUGCUUAACCACUCGUGCCACCCAGCUGCCUCUUGACUGUAUCUCUUUGUACAGCUGGGGGGGUGGGGGAUGGGUUGAAGAGGGGAAGUGGUAUGGGGGAGGAGUGGUUACUAAUUUUGACUGGAAAAGGGGAAUAAGAGCCAUCUGUGACUUCUCACAUUUAUUUUCAUCUCACCAAUCAGCACUUCACAACACUUACUGGUUCCCAGGUAUAAUGCACAUUUAUUUAUUUGAUUAUUGCCUAUUUUAGUCACAUGAGAAAGGAAGCUCAGUACGGGCAGUGGUCUGGUAUUAUUAUUGUUGUAUCUCCUGCUCCUCAAACAGUAACAGGUACUUGGUGGGUGCCCAAUAAAUAUGGUUGAAUGCUUAAUCCCUCUUCUCACGAUCCGUCUGUCAUGGCUUGGGUAUUGCUGUGAUGCUGGAAGCUAUGCCACAGGUAUUUCAAAUACUAGCAGAGUCACCCAUGGUGGACAGGUUUCAGUGGAGCUUCCAGACUAAGGCAGUCUAGGAAGAAAGGGCUGGUGAUCUACUUCAGAAAAUUAGCCAGUGAAAACCCUAUGGCUCAUGAACAGAACAUUGUCCAGGUCACUUGCUGUGUACACGUCAUCAGGAGGGAUCAAUCACUGGAGGAAGACAUCAUAUUUGGUGAAGUAGAAGGCCAACAAGGGCGAGGGAGAACCUCGGUGAGAUGGAUUGCCAUGAUAGCCAAAAUGGUGGACUGGAACAUGCCAGGGAUCAUGAGGAUGACACAGGAUGGGGCAACAUUUUGUUCUGUUGUACAUAAAGUCACUACGAGUUGAAGCUGAUGCGACAGCAGCUAACAACAACAACAAACCCUCCUCUGUGUAAGUUUAUAGAAACAAAGCCUUUUGAGUAAAUAAUAAAGCUUCUCUUUUAUUUCUUUUCUCUUUUUCUGAGCUGCUUACCUCUCUGACAUUUUGGGCCAGCCCAACCACCACCUGGAGAAGCUUGGAGAAAGGACUGGCUUAGAGAACCCUAGGCUUAGGAUUCAGGAGAACAAACUCAAAUGGCUACAGGAGCCAGGCAGGUAAACGAAUGAACCAGCCUGAUGGGAUGGGGAUAACAGUAAACCAAGAGACUGUUUUCUGUCUAAGGAUGGUUGCCUCCACUUAGCACUUACCAAUUUUUAACAUGCCAGAAGGCAGGCCCCCUGUUCAGAGAAUAUAAAAUUUUACAAAAGAAGUUGGUACCCUGGAGUUUUAUCUAAAUACUUCGAAUAUUAAAUGUUAGCCACUAAUGAAAACCUUUAUUUUUGGAAGCAGGAUGUCUUAGUUUCCUUGAGCUGACAAGAUACCACAAAGUAGAUGGCUUUAAAGAACAGAGCUUAUCUCAGAGUUCUGGAGGCUACAAGCCCAAAUCAGGUAUUGGCUAUGGUAAUUCCUUUUGAAGGCUUUGAGAGAGAAACUGCUCCGUGCCUCCUCCCUAGUUUCUAGUGGCUGGCAGCAAUCCAUGGCUGCUUGUAGAUGUGUCUUCUCAUGGCUUCUUCACCCUGUGUGACUGUUUCAGUGUGUUCUUCCCUUUUUAUUUCUCACCGCUUUGAAGGGAUUAGCAUCCACCUUAAUCCCCUAUGACUUCUUUAAAUUACAGAUAACAUCUGCAAAGAAAAAUCCUAUUUCCCCAAACUAGGACACAUUCACAGGUACAAAAGUUAGGACUUCAACAUCUACUUUUAGGGGGACAAAGUUCAGCCCAUAAACCAAACCAAAACUCUUGCCCUCAGGGCAAUUUCAACUCAUAGCAACCCCAUGUGUUACAGAGUAGAACUGCUCCAUAGGGUUUUCUUGGCUGUAAUCUUUAUGGAAGCAGAUCACCAGGCCUGUGUUCCAAGGUGCUGCUGGGUGGUUUUGAACCACCAGCCUUUAGCUUCGUAGUCCAGUGUAAACUGUUUGUGCCUCCCAGAAACCUUAUUCAACCCAUAACAGGGAGUAAAACCAAAUGUCUUUUUGGACUGAACACAGUCCAUGGGUGGCCAGGUUUGGUUUCUGGUCUGAGCUGUCUCCGUGGGCCCUCUCUGGAACUCUCUUUUGGGGUUUCCCUUCUCCCUGCUUUCCUUGACUUUUCCCCAAGAUGAAGCCUGGCUGUCUAAGGAGCGGGAAGCUGGCGUCAACCCGGAGUUCCAGCCAUUAGACACUGCCAAGUGGGUCUUAGCCUUCGGAGUGAUUUUCUUCAUUAAGGGUCAUCUGCAGAUUGGAGGAGGGUGAUUGUACGAGGCUGUUUUGGCAUCGAGCUGAUUGUAAGUGCAGCUGCAGGAGCCCACGCUGAUUAGAACCCAGAUUCUGAAGCCAGAUGAAUUAAUAAUGAGUUGAUGGGGAGAAGGAGAGGCUCUGACAGCACUCUUGUUUAUGUUAGGAGAUGCUUUAUGUGCUUUCACUUAAAAAAAAAAAAAAGGUUUAUUUCUCUAAAUUUUAAAUCACUGAUGGGUGCCUGGAGUAAUUAAGCUCAGUUUCCCAGGGUAGAACCCUUCAGGAAAGCUCUGCACCAUUCACUGUAGUCUGCAUGGGUCUGAAAUAAAAGGAUUCUGGGUAAUCCAGGUUAUCAAAUAGGGGAGAGGGGGCACCAAAGUGUUAGUGGACGCUGUCUUCGGAGCUAUCACUUUAGACCUAAGCAGAAUUAUAUUCAAAAUAGAUUUUUCCCCCCUCCAAUUCCAGAAAAAUGCCAAAAUGCAAACCACCUAGAUUGGUAUUAUUUAAGAAGCUAUUAUCCUUGAUUAAAUUGAAGCACAACAGAAAAGGUAUCCAGUUUCUCCAGAAAUUAGAGGUAAACGGUAGUUGGGUAAGGUUAGCAUUUUGCCAAAUUCUGUGGUGGUAGCAAGUGAGCCCCAUAUUUAUUUGAAAUUGCUUGCAUUUUUAUCCCCAGCCUCCUCUACCCCCCAGCUGUGAUUGAGCUAAUUACAACCCAUGGGGAAUUAUGCGGAUAAUGGUAGGAACCAGGGAAGUAUAAAUAUGCAAUGCAAUUAGCGCCUGCUCCUUUUUCUGUGUGAUGCAAUCUUGGAGCUCGUGGGUUUGCAAAAGGCUUGGAACAAUAGGAACCAUUGAUACUCAAGCUGCGAGGGGAGUUUAUAAUUAUGAUAUAACAUCUUACCGGUCUCUUACAUGCACGGAGGUAGAAUGGAAUAUGAGUAAAUAAAAAUCAGCAGUUUUCUCCCUACAUAAUCCUUUAUAUCAAUAGCAUAUUUCCUCUCUUUUUUUCCUCCCAAAGAAGAUAGGCACUUACUCUGACAGCUUAUGUAAAAUUGAAGGACUUCAUUUCCAUGGGAAUAAACUUGGUUUGCAAUCCCUUAAGCGAGAGGCUUGCUUGGUUUUAUUACAAACUGAAGUAAGCUGAUGCACCACGCCCUCUGCCCAUGCUGUGCAGCUUCCCUUGACUUUGCUCGCUGCUGUUAUGUAACGUGGUGCCAGGAGAUACUUGAAUUUUGUCGUUUAUUCCUUAUUUGGUUAGGACUGUACCCAAGCUGGGCUGGCUUUGCGGAUAUUGGACCUGUUCGAUAGUGUCCUUAUAUUUGGUUUUAAAACUAGCAUUAUAAGAUAUAAAGAAGACCAAUAAAAUUCAUGCUAAUUAUUUAAAUUUUUAAUUUUCCUGUAAUUAGAAUGGCAUUAAAUAACUAAAAGCAUUACGACAAGUUGAAAGAAUGAAUGGGAAACCACAGAAUAAAUGAAAAAGUUUUACUCUUUAGCACCUUUAAUAUCACUUUUUCCUGUUGUUUAAGUAGAUAGAUGGAGCCCUGGUGGCACAGUGGUUAAGCACUUGGCUGCUAACCGAAAAGUCAGCAGGUUGAACCCACCAGUGAGCUCCUUGGGAGAAAGAUGUGGCCAUCUGCUUCUGGAAAGAUUAUAGCCUUGGAAGCCCUGUAGGGCAGUUCUACUCUGUCCUGCAGGGUCACUGUGUUUCGGAAUUGACUUGAUGGCAAGGGCUUUUUUUUUUUUUUGAAAUAGAUAGCUGUCAUCAUGUUGCCUGGUCCUGCGACAUCCUCGUAAUCACUGGCAUGUUUGAGUCCAUCAUUGAGACCAUUGUACCAAUCAUUUCUCCGAGGGUCUCCCUCACCCUUGCUGGCCCUCUACUUCACCAGAUAUGAUGUCUUCCCUCCAGGGGUUGAUCCCUCCUGAUGACAUGUCCAAAAUAAGUGAGUAGGAUAAUGUUCCGUUGCGAUUCAUUAGGUUUUCACUAAUUUUUGAAAGUAGGUAGCCAGGCCUUUCUUCCUAAUCUGUCUUAGUCUGGAAGCUCCACUGAAACCUGCCCACCCUGGGUGACCCUACUGGUAUUUGAAAUACUUGAGACAUAGCUUCCAGCAUCAAAGCAGCACACAAGCCAUCACAGUACAAGAAACUAACAGACAGGUAACCCCCCACCAAAAAACAAAACCCAUUGCCAUUGAGUCAAUUCCGACUCAUAGCGACCCUAUAGGACAGGGUAGAACUGCCUCAUAGGGUUUCUAAGGAGCACCUGGUGGAUUUGAACUGCCAGCCUUUUGGUUAGCAGCUAAACUCCUAACCACGAUGCCACAUCCAAGAGACAGGUAGCAGCUAUUUAAAUAAAAGGCCCCAAUUUUCAUUUCACACUUGUUGUCAUUGUUAGUUGCCAUCGAGUUGACUUUGGCUCAUGGCAGCCCUAUGUAUAAUAGCAUGAAACAUUGCCUGGUCCUGCACCAUCUUCAUGAUUGCUGAUCUGUUUGAGUCCAUUGUUGUGGCUAUUGUAUAGUGAGUUUCUACCUAGAAGGCUCAUCUUCCAGCACUAUAUAAGGCAAUAUUCUGUUGUGAUUCAUAAGGUUUUUACUGGCCAAUUUUCAGAAGUAGGUUGCCAGGCCUUUCUUCCUAGUUUGUCUUAGUCUGCAAGCUCCACUGAAACCUGUCCACCGUGGGUGACCCUGCUGGUAUUGAAAUACCAAUGGCAUAGCUUUCAGCAUCACAGAAACAUGCAAUCCACCACAGUAUGACAAACUGACAGAUGGGUGGUGGUCAUUUUGCACUGGGCAUCAUAAAUUAUGUAACUGGCUCUGAACCCAGGCACAAAUAAGUGGAAUUCAGACAUUCAUCCACGCAUUCAGAAAUCCCUUAUUGAAAACCUAGUGUGUACAUCUCGGUGCCAGAUGUAGGAGAUGCAGAGAGUGAAUGAACUGGUCCUGGCGUCCUGGACCUCAUCACCUUGUGGCGGGCGGCUGACCUGCAGUCAACUCUCAUAGAUGCUGGGGCUGUGGGACAGGCAGACCGACGUCAUAGAACAGGAGUUAGUUCUCAGCUGUGCCUGGUGAUGGCAGGGGUCAAGAGAGAAUUUGUAGAAGAGAUGAUAUUUUAGAUUGUAUCUGCGAGUUCAGACUUAUAAGACACUCAGGAAACAUUUUCUCUGUUAAGAUGGAAUCAAAUAAUUGCAACUAGCAUCUCAGAGAUUGGGGACUUUCUCAUUCUUUACUUCAUCCAGCCUCAUAGAUUCAUGAGGGAUAUUGUGCAGUCAUCUUUAUUUCCAUUUUGUAGCUGAGAAAUCUGAGAUAGUAACUAGACUGUAACUGCUAGUGAGUGUCAAAACUAGGGCCGAAACCCAGGUCAUCUGAUUCCAAAUUCUGUUUAAACUUGCCACUCGCUGUAAACUUUCUACUCCCUUUAAACUUUCCAUCCCCCUCAAUCCUCAAUUCAACAAGUGUUCCUACUUUCUUAUUACUGAUAUUAAGAAAUUAGGAAGUGAUACAAUAUUUUGCAGAAUAAUUUUUUUUUUCUUCAUACAAGAAUUUAUGUCAGGUUUCUUUUGAAGGGCAAAUUCCUUUAGUUUAUGGAAAGUAUAAUUUGCUUAAUAAAGACCAACUUUCUCUAACCGGAAUCAUCCAGGUGAGGAAUGUCGGUGCUCUGGAGUCAGUCUUGUGGUGUGGAAGGGGUACAGGCUUUGCAGUCAGGCUGGAGUUCAAUCCGAAUCCACUUUCGAAGAACUAUAUUACUUUGGGACUGUAAUUAGCCUCGUUGAGCCUCAACUUCCUCAUCUGUAAAAUGGGGAUGAUAAUGACUGCUUCAUCCACCACCUGUCUGUAAGUUUAUCAUAGCUUGUGUGUUGCUAUGAUGCUGGAAUUUCAAAUACUAACAGGGUCACUCGUGGUGGACAGGUUUCAGCAGAGCUUCCAGACCAAGACAGACUAGGAAGAGAGGCCUAGUGAUCUCCUUUUGAAAAUUAAGCAAUGAAAACCCUAUAGAUCACAACAGAAUAUUGCCUGAUAUAGUACCGGAAGAUGAGCCCCUGGGUUGGAAGACCCUCAAAAUACACAGUGGCUGCAAGAAUGGACUUGAGCAUACCAACAAUCACAAAGAUGGCACAGGUUCGGGCAAUGGUUAGUUCUGUUGUACAUGGGAUCGCCAUGAGUUGGAGCUGACUCGAUGGCAACUAAUAACAACAAAUGACUUCUUCAUAGUGAUGUCAGAGGGUUUAAUCAAAUGAGGCUGUGGAGCACCCAACAGAUGACAGGUACUCAGUAAAUGUUAUCUCCUCAUGAAAGACAAAACAAGCCACUUUUUUCUCACCUCUUUAGGGAUUUUACCAUGUGAAAUUGUUCAUUUCAUACCAGUGGGGUUAUUUUAUUUGUGUUUGAUACCUGAGAAACUUCUGUUACUUCUAACUCUCUAUUAAUGUAUUAACAAAGAAGAAAAAUAGGAUUCUUCAGUUUCAAUAUUUUCUCUGUGUUCACUCUCUAUCCCAAUAGUAAAGUCCCAGAAAUGAGUACAAAGAUUUUUUGAGAGGUAUCAGAGUCAUAGGGUCAAAUAAUUUUAUAAUCUUAAGGCAUUUUGGGGGUAAUUAUAAUAGUUUACAUUUGGAGAGGACUUUCCUCUGUGCUGGGCAGUAUUCUGAACACUUUACCCAUAUUAACUUGGUUCAACCUCACAAGGAGUCUUUUUUUUUUUUUAAAGGAGUUUUUGAGCGAAGUUUGUUAUUGUCUGUUUCACAGUUGGGAAAACCGAUGCACAAAGUUAGGUAACUUGUCCAAGGUCACAUGGGUAGUGUGCAGUGGAGCUGGGAUUUGAAACUGGGCUUUCCAGGACCCACACCCUAACCACUGUGUUAUACCCUGCCUUUGGUUGCCAACUGCCAUGAAGUUGAUUCUGACUCAUGGUAACCCCAUGUGUGUCAGAGUAGAACCAUGCUCCAUGGGGUUUUCAUUGACUGAUUUUUCAGAAGUAGGUUGCCAGGACUUUCUUCCAAGGUUUCUCUGAGUGGGCUCGAACCUCCAACCUUUCAGUUAGCAGCCACGUGUGUUAACUAUUUGCACCACCUAGGGACCCUAUCGGCUAUGCCAAACUGCCUUAAUUAUGAUAUAUUCUACCCCUCCAAUUUUACAAAUGAUAAACUGAGAUCCCAAAAGAAUAAUUGACUUGCCCAAGGUCAUACUGCCUCUUAAAUAUAGGUUCAAGACUAGAACCCGGGUAUCCUGAGUGUUCAAUCCAAGGCUCUUUCUACUCCCCCCAGAAUUACCGGCAGGACAGGCUCAUGAGAGACUCAAACUGGGAACCAGCUGAGCUAGAGAAUAAUAUUUCUAUUCCUGUGUCUUUCAUUAAAGAUGCAUGAUUUUUGUAAUUCUCUCCUUUAACAGUAAUUGCUAUGUUUUGUCUUUCAGGAAUCUGGGCAUGAGGAGAUAAGCCAAUAUAUCUGCCUGUUGAGCCUAUUAGUUAAAAAUAAUUAUAAAGAACAUGGUGAUGCUUCAGAAGCUGUCAGGAAAGAGCAUAAGUUGGCAGUCUGGAAGAGUCAUGGUGACUAAGGGAUUUAGAAAACAGAGAGGACAACAAUUAUUGGAUGACCACUGUGUCAGGCACUCAACCAGGGACUUUGCCUGUGUUUUCUAUUAACCUUCUAAAUAGUUCUGGGGGUAAAUAUUAUCUCCCCCAUUUUAAAGCUAAGAAAAUCAAGGCUUUUGAGAGGUCCAGACUGGUGAAGAAUGUUGAAUAUACCAUGGACUUCCAGAAGAAUGAACAAAUUAGUCUUGGAGGAAGUACAGCCACAAUGCUCCUUUAGAAGCAAGAAUGGUGAGACUUCAUCUUGCUUACUUUGGACACAUCAUCAGGAAAGACCAAUUUACUAGAAAAGAACAUCUUUGCCUUAGUUAUAUAGUGCUGCUGUAACAGAAAUACUGCAAGCGGAUGGCUUUAACAAAGAGAAAUUUAUUUUCUCACAGUCUGGAGGGCUAGAUGUCCGAAUUCAGGGUACCAGCUCCAGGGGAAGGCUUUCCCUGUCAGUUCUGGGGGAAGGUCUUUGUCAUCAAUCUUCCCCUGGUCUGGGAGCUUCUCAGCACAGGGACCUUGGGUCCAAAGGACACGCUUGCUUCCAGCCCUUCUCUUUUGGUGGUGGGAGGUCCCACUGUCUUUCUGCUCACUUCUCUCUUUUAUAUCUCAGAAGAGAUUAACUCCGAGAUAAAAACUAUCCUGUAGAUUGUGUCCUGCCUCUUUAACAUAACUGCCUCUAAUCCUGCCUCAUUAACAUCAUAGAGGUAGGAUUUACAACACAUAGGAAAAUCAUAUCCUGUGACAAAAUGGUGGACAAUCACACAGUACUGGGAAUCAUGGCCCAGCCAAGCUGACAUACAUUUUUGGGGAACACAAUUCAAUUUAUAACAAUCCUAUUUGGUAAAGUAGAGGGUCAUCGAAAAUUAGGACAACCCUCAAUGAGAUGAAUUGACACAAUAGCCACAAAAAUGGGCUCAAAGAAGCAACAAUUGUGAGGAUGGUGCAGGACCAGGCAACGCUGUGUUCUGUUAUACAUAGGGUCGCAUGAGUUGGAGCCUAUGCGAAGGCAACUUACAACACUAGUCUGGUACUUAAACUGGCCGGUGGCAAAGCCAGGACUUGUCCCAUGUCUGAGUCCAAGGGGAGCAGGGUGGGCUGGAUGGAGGCUGAGUGCGGAGGGAUCCUGGGAGAUGCCCCUGAUGGUCAGAGUAGUGGCUGAAUUGCUGUGGUCCAGAUAUGCUCCAGCGUUUUAAAAUGUCCUGAGCCAGUGUUUACUCCACCCCUUUCAAAGGCCUCCUUGGACUGAGGGGUGAAUCAAGAGGUGCUUCGCUGACCAUCUCAUUUAAAUUUUGCUCAGUACUACAGCGAUCAUCCAGUGUCAAUAUUCUACAGCGUGAUUUGAUUAUACUUUGUUGCCAAGGCUUUAAAAGAGGAGCAUAUCUUUUUAAAUUAUAAACAAAUGUUUUAGCUCUCUGUGUUGUUAACCAGGCUGGAUAGUGAUAAAGCUUUCCUUGAAAAAAGAAAGAAUACUGGGCUAUGUCCAUGGACUUCUGAAAUCAAUUACGCUUUUGUUAAUUGGAUUUCCCACCCCCGCCCCUUCUUUUGGCCUUCCCCUAACAUAGAAAAUAAAAUCUGGGGUUAGGCCUCUCCCACUGAUGGAUAGCACCCAGUGGCAAUGCACGCAUUUUUCACUAGUCUAUUUGUUUUUCCAGAAGCCUCUGAAUGGCCAUUACACAAGUUAAGGGACCCAGGGUCAACUUCUAUUUAUGUGACAUAUUCCUGCUAUUUGUUUAUGUCACCUGAAAAUCCAACCAGUGGAAAUGUUUCAAGAUGUCGACCUUUAAACACUAAGAGUAAAUCUUGCUUCUUUUCCAUGCUUAACAACAAAAAACAACUAACACAAUUAUAGCAGUACCUGCUACUUCACUGAAUGUUGAACACAUCCCAGGCACCCUGUUAAAUGUGCUUUAUGCAUAAUCUCAUUUAAUUUUCCCAGUGACCGUGUGAACUAGGUGGUAUUUUUAAUCUCCAUUUUACAGAUGAGGAGACUAAGGCUUAAGGAAAUUAAGUACCACGCACCAGGUCACACCUCUAGUUACUGGUGGGGAUAGAAUUUGGACUCAGUCCUUCUGUCUCUGGAGCCAAAUUCCUCAAUCUUCUUCGAAUACAUCUUUAGCAAAGAGUGGACCUUAAAAAAGCAAAGAGUGGACCUUACCAUCUCAAAUAAUCUGUGAAGCAAAGUGUUGCGUGUUUGUGAUCUUCAAAACAAAGGAGGCAGAUCAUUCAGAAAUUUUGGAAUAUUGACCUAGCUACCCAGAACUACAGUGUGACGAGGCGCAGUGACACACACAGCCUGACUCACCAGAUGGCCACCAUGACUCAGGGCCUUUAACAUUUCACCGCUGGAGAAAUCAAUCACCCAAAACCAUCAUUUCUUACACAUGCCGUCUUCCUGCUCAAGAACCUUCCCCAUCUGCCUGUAAGGUGGUUAUCAGUUGGUCCCAGUUAGCCCAGACUUCCCUGAUUUUAGCACUCAGAGUCUCCCAUCCCAACCCCUCAGUGCUGGGCAAACCAAGAUGGUUGGUUAUCCUACCUCUAAGAGAUAGUUCAAAAUCAUCGGCCUGGUUUUUUACCUCUCAUUAUCAAUCCAACUUAUUGGUCUCCUACAGGAGAGCUCUGUUCAUGCCAGACCAGCUGGCUAGCUGCCCUCCUGCAUUCUGUCUAUGCUGCUGCCAGUGCCUGCUCCAUCACACCCGCCAUGCAACAGGACCUUCCCUAGAAGGUUCCGCUUGUGCUCUGUGAGUAGACAAUGCCUGAUCCACCUCUGCUCAUCCCAUCCCACCUCUUGGUGGUCUUCUUCCUUUGUGCUCAGUGCUUCUUUUCAGGAAAAUAACAUAUGCUAUGUCAUAUUGCUUUCUAUGGUCAGCUCCUGUUUCUGCAUCUGAUUUUGGGCCUCUUUUUUUUUUUUUUUUAAUUGAACUUUAGAUGAAGGUUUACAGAACAAACUAGUUUCUCAUCAAACAGUUGGUAUACACAUUGUUGUAUGACAUUGUUUAACAACCCCACGACAUGUUCACAUUCUCCCUUCUCAACCCUAUUGCCAGCUUUCCUGUUUCCUCUUGUGAUUUUGGGCCUCUUGAAGGCAAGAACAACACCUCAUGCCUCUUUGUGUAUCUAGGGCCUGAAAAAAGCCUUGCUCAAAGGGCCAUCAAAAAUGUGUGUUGUCAGUGAUUAGAACAGGUGGCCAUCCAGCCCUUGCAUUACCUACCUUCCCUCCAAAAACAAUGGUUCUGCAUUUGAAGAGCUCUCAACCUACUGGAAUAGACACACGGCCAUGUAUAAAAACUUAUCCUUGGAUGGGCCGCAUAAUGAUGUGGCUAAAAGCACAGCCUUUGGGGUCACCUUGCCCUGGAAUUUCUACCUCUGUAAUUCACCUUUCUAAAUAAAUCACAGACAAAUUUACUUCAUUCUCGGAACCUCAUUUCUUCCACUAUAAAAUGAACAUCUUACCUCAUUUUAUAGUUGAGGUAAUUGGGUAAUUAUGGUCAUGAGAAUUACAUAAUACUUGACCCAUAGUUACUGUUAGUUGCACUUGAGUUGGCUCUGCCUCACAGCAACCCCAAGCACAACAACGCUGCACCCUCUUUAUCAUUGUUGGUAUGUUUGAGUCCAUUGUUGUGGACAUUGUGUUAGUCUAGCUCUUUGAGGGUUUCCCUCAUUUACCUUGGCCCUCUACUUUACUGCCCUCUACUUUACUUCCCUCUACUUUACCAGCCCUGGUGGUGUAGUGGUUACACAUUUGGCUGCUGAUUGAAAGGCCAGCAGUUUGAAUCCACUAGCUGCUCCUUGGAAACCCUGUCUGGCAGUUCUACUCUGGGGUAGAGAGCAAUGGGUUUGGUUUUGGUUUACUUUACCACCACCUGUCUGUCAGUUUGUUGUGCUAUGGUGGCUUGCGUGUUGCUAUGAUGAUGGAAGCUACACCACUGGUAUUUCAAAUAGCAGCAGGGUCAACCAUGGUGGACAGGAUUCAUCAGCAGAGCUUCCAGACUAAGACACACUAGGAAGAAGGGCCUGGUGAUCUACUUCAUCACGACCCCACAAUAAUAUUAAGGGUAUUCUUCAUCGAGUGCCUUGCCUACAUAAACCCAGAAGGCAAACAAAUACACCUCCCCAAAGGCACCUUUUGCACUAGUGUUAAAGACAGCCCAUGGCACCAUUGGUCCUAGUGGUCAUCAAGCUGAGUAGCCACAACUAUGACACAUAGUAAAAAAAAAAAAAAAACAAACUAGUGCCAUCGAUUAAGUACCUAGUAAAUGAUCAAUGAAAAACAUGUACUCAACCACACAAAACAUAAUGGGGAUAGACAGUUAAACAUGUGGAGCUGGGUGGGAGGAAAUCAAAUGGGUGAAAUACAAAUGGGAGCAAUUGGAGUGUCUGGAGCUUUGGGGCAGGUGUCUGGGAAGGCUUUGUGGAAGACGGAGGUAGGGAAAGGGAAAGCUGGGUAGGAGGAAAGCAAAUGGGUGAAAUACAAAUGGGAGCAAUUGGAGUGUCUGGAGCUUUGGGGCAGGAGUCUGGGAAGGCUUUGUGGAAGACGGAGGUAGGGAAAGGAUGUGGAAAAUUGUCUUUUCUUUAUCGAGCAUCUGUCUUGUGCACUAGGCAUUUUGCCUAUUGCACUUCACUGAAUCUUCAGAGCAAAGUGUAAGUUAGAUGUUAGUUCUGUAUUUUAUAGAUAUUGACUCUUUCCUGUGGUCACAGAGUUUAUAAGAGUCAAAGCUGAGACCGACUUCAAGUCUAUCUCAUUCUAGAACCUUGUCCUCACCCCACCCCUUCCUUACCCUGUUACAAGUGUGUGUGCACAGACACAAGUAUGGGUGCAUUUGAAACUCUUAGCUUUCUUUGCAGCUCCAAACAGUUGCCCUAUUUCCUCUGAUUAAAAAAUCUGUACAGGGCUGGGUUAAGACAGUCACUCCACUUGGAAAGCCUUCCCUAAUUUGUUUUGAGCAUAUUGGUUUGUGUAAAUUUAGCUUGUGUUUGGCUGUAAGGAACAGAAAUCCUGCCUGAAAACAGUUUAAACAGUGAGGAAAUUUACUGUUUCUUGUAAAGGAGGACAGAGGUAGAAAAGCCUCCAGGCACAGUACCCUAAUCCCGGGGGCUAUUGCUGUUUCUCAACAAGUCUCCAGGCUGGCUGCCCUCAGGGUUUCAAGAGAGCUGCCAUUUACAGCCCAAGCAACAGGAUUCUUCGUUCUGUGGGAGAGAGAAAAAUCUCUCUCUCAAUCAUGGGUCAAAAUAUUCCUUCUCUUCAGUCUGAUUUGACCAAUUUAGGUCGUGGGUUCAACCCUGGACCAAUAGCAUUCAACAACGUGAAUGCUUCAUGUUGACUGGCUGAUACUAAUAAGACUAAUUUCUGUAGUUCAGAUUGGUACAUACAGCAUGGAGGGGAGAAGUAAAAUUCUAAAUAUGUAACAUCUGGAGCAGUUUGGACAUGACUAAUCAGGAUAGAUAAUUUCCACAUUCUGUUGGAUCACCUUCCUUUGGAAUGGUCACGGAUAUGGAUCUCUUCCAGUCAGUUGGCCAGGUAGCUGUCUUUCAAAUUUCUUGGCAAAGAUGAGUUAACAUGCCCAGCUUUGCACUUGUUUGUUGAAAUGUCUCAAUUGGUAUUCCUUCAAUUCCUGGAACCUUGUUUUUCAUCAGUGCUUUCAGUGCAGCUUGGACUUCUUCAUUCAGUAAUAUCAGUACUGAGAUCUGUUAUUCAUGCCCAUUCCAAAGAAAGGUGAUCCAACAGAAUGCAGAAAUUAUUGCACAAUAUCGUUAAUAUCACACCACAAGUAAAAUUAUGCUAAAGAUAACUCAAAAAUGGUUGCAGCAGUACAUAUACAGGAAAAUGCCAGAAAUUCAAGCUGGAUUCAGGAGAGGAUGUGGAACAAGGGAUAUCAUUGCUGAUGUCAGAUGAAUCUUAGUUGAAAGCAGAGAAUGCCAGAAAGAUAUCUACCUGUGUUUUGUUGACAAUGCAAAGGCAUUUAACUAUGUGGAUCAUAAGAAGUUAUGGAUAACAUUGCAAAAAAUGGAAAUUCCAGAACACUCAAUUGUGCUCCUGUGGAACCUGUACAUAGAUCAAGAGGCAGUUGUUCGAAAAGAGCAAGGGUAUACCGCGUCAUUUAAAGUCAAGAAAGGUGUGUAUCAGGGUUGUAUCCUUUCACCAUACUUAUUGAAUCUGUAUACUGAGCAAAUAAUCUGAGAAACUAAACUGAGAAAGAAACUAAGGAAUAAAGAAGAACGGGGCAUCAGGAUUGGAGAAAGACUCAUUAACAACCUGCAUUAUGCAGAUGACACAACCUUCCUUGCUGAAAAUGAAGAGGACAUGAAGCACUUACCGAUGAAGAUCAAAGACUACAACCUUUAGGUAUGGAUUGUACCUCAACAUAAGGAAACAAAAAUCCUCACAACUGGACCAAUGAGCAACAUCAUGAUAAACAGAAAAUAUUGAAGUUGUCAAGGAUUUCAUUUUACUUGAAUCCACAAUCAACACCCAUGGAAGCAGCAAUCAAGAAAUGAAAAGGUGCAUUGUAUUGGGCAAAUCUGCUACAAAAGACCUCUUUAAAUUGCUGAAGACUAAAGAUGUCACCUUGAAGACUAAGGUGUGCCUGACCCAAGUUAUGAUAUUUUUAUAUGCAUGCAAAAGCUGGACAAUGAAUAAGGAAGAUUGAAGAAGAAUUGAUGCAUUUGAAUUAUGGCAUAAGUGAAGAAUAUUGAAUAUGUCAUGGACUGCCAGAAGAACAAACAUCUAUCUUGGAAGAAGUACUGCCAGAAUUCUCCUUAGAACAGAGGGUUGCAAGACUUCCUCUCAAGUACUUUGGACGUGUUAUUGGGAGGUACCAGUCUCUGGAGAAGGUCGUCGGCCUUGGUAACAUAGAGGGUCAGGAAAAAGAGGAAGAACCUCAGCGAGAUGGAUUGACACCGUGGCUGCAACAAUGGGCUCAAACUCAGCAAUAAUUUUAUGAGGAUAACACAGGACCGGCCAACAUUCUGUUGUACGUAGGGUCGCUAUGAGUCAGAACCGAGUCGAUGACACCUAACAAUAAUCAGGAUAGGUAAAGCUGUAAACAGCUAGUAAGACUGUUCAGUGUGUAUUGCUGAUUAUCAACCCUAGGUACCUAACUACAAUAAGGGUUUUGUUAAGAAGGAGGAGGAAUGGGUUCUGGGUAGCAGCUAAAGUUGACUGCUACUGCUUCUAUGUGUCUGUCUACUUGAGUGCUUGGUUGAAUGGCCAGUUAUGGCAAUCUUCAAUCACAUCUUUGUAGUUUGACAUUCCAGUAUCUGUGGCCCCAGUGACUAGGCAAUUUUUACUUUUAACUUAUUCAGUUUAAUUUAGUCUCAUUCAAAAGCUCAGCCUAAAUUUCACUUCACUUGACCUAUCCAAGUCCAACCCCCUCCUACCUAGGUAUCUGAUAACACGUCAUUCAAGUUGCAUGUGUGUUUAGUGAGAGCAAAACACAGCUCUGCUUAACACGUAGUUACUGUGAGUCAACCUGGUCCUAACUAGGGCAUCUCCCAUCUUGAGUGAAAUCUUUAAGGAGCGAUUCUUCCCUCUGGUUUACUCAUGCUUUACACAUUCUGACUAACUGGAAACAUAGGCAGCUUAAAUCAGUGAUAGGUGUGAUGACAGAAGGUCUUAACAGAUAUGCAGUUACAUUACUUCCAAGUGCAGGCAGUAACUCAAGUUAGAAUAUAGAGUGAUGUCUUGUAAAGGCUCUAACUUAUAUAGAUAAAAAUAAUUUAUAAUGGGCUUAUCAGUUCUUUGUAUUUAAUUCUUUUCUUUGGAAAUGCCUCUGACGCCUUAACCCCAGGGUGUUCUGCCAGUUACUUUAAACUUUCUUCCAGAAAUCUUCUUUGCACUAUUGAUUUAGACUAUCAAUACAGAGGCUGAAAUAAUAAGAUUUCGGCCUAUUCCUGAUUUUGCAGGGAAGAUUGAAAUUGUAUGUGUUCAUCAGGUUAGUUUUUGUACUGGACACACAAAAGGAUAUUUGGUCUUUUGGUGUUAGUUACUUGGAAAACCAGCUUGAAGGAAGAGUUAUUUUUUUUGUGGUUUUAUUUUUUUAAGGGAAAAUGUGGAAAUUUGAUCACUAGGAUAUAUUAAAUGGAACUGCAAAGGUAGAAUUUGCACACCCUGAAUGUGGACAUUCAAAUUAGGCCAGAGAAAUAACGUUCUCAGAACUGGCAGUGUGGUCAAGUUGAAAGAGCGCUAGAUCAUAAGGAAGCCUGGGUUGUGCUCCUCACUUGACAUUGAUUUGGCUGUGUGACCAUGGACCAGUUACUUAACUUCUCUGGCCCUCAACUGGUUUAUCUACAGUUUUCACUUGAUCAUCAGUGGCAAAAACUCAGGCUCACCGAGGCCAGACGGAAAAUGCAUGUGAAUAAGGAGGGCUUAGAACAAAACAGAAGCGAACAAAACUAUGAAACAUACAAAAGAACAAAACCUCAAUUUUAAUGUGAGGCUGGGGUGUUGGGGAGAAAUGGGUGUGGUGGGGACUGGGGCUGAGCACAGAGCACAUGCCCGUGUAAAGAUGGCAGCCCUUUAUUCUACCUCAAGCUGAACUCAGAUCCUAUGUGGCUAGGUCUUCCAAAUUUUAUUUAUUUAUUUAUUUAUUUAUUAAAUAGAGGCUCUCAGUCAAGGUUUGUAUGUGAAAUCUCUCCAGUUGUUAAAUAUUGGGUGAAAUAAUAAACUUGUGUGGGCCAGUACUCUGUGAACAAAAUUCUUCCCUGGGCUGAAUUCAGCAUGGGGUUGCUAAUUUGCAACUCCUAGAUAAGAUGAACUCGGAAGUUGUCCCAGGUGCAGAAUGUGUUCUAAGAGUCACACCACCAUAUAGGAGAGGUCUCAGCAGGCGUCUGGCUCACCUCUCAUGCACUAUCCCUGACGGUUGUCACCUAAACUCUGCUUAGCUGUUCCACAGACAGCCUGUCCUGCUGAGGAAGGGACUGUACUUGAAAGUUCUUUCUUGCAUUGAGAAGAAACCCCUCAUGCAACAACUCCUCUUGUUGGUCUUAAAUCUGUCAUCUGGAGCCACAGAGAACAUAUCUUUAGUCUCCUGGAAUUUUAGAUUUGGAUGUUUCUGCUACCACCCACAACACACACCAGAGAUGUUUCAUGAGCAGAGUCAGGACUUGGAAAGGCCUUCCUGGAGCACAGAACCCUGGAUGAGCUAGAGCAGGUUUCCUCAAAGAAAAUUCAAAUGAAGCCCCUUCUGUCAUCACUGGGGGCUGUUGGUGGAAGAUCGGUUUGGCGUGCUCAUGGCUGUGCCACUUCUCUCACGUGAGAGAAAUGACCUUGGAGGAAUGGGGAGGGGCUGGGGUACAGACUGGAGGUCCAUAGCUAGCCUGUUGGGAGGAAUGGGGCCUGGGGGAGGAAUGGGGAUGUGGGGCUCUACAUGUCUCCUUCUGAUUAGCAAAAAUUGAGGCUCAGCACUGAGAGAUCUUUGUUCUCUUUCCAGUUCUAGUUUCCAUCGAGUUGAUUCCAACUCAUGACAAUCCCAUGUGUGCCAGAGUAGGCCUGUGCUCCACAGGGUUUUCAGUGGCUGAUUUUUCUGAACUGGAUUGUCAGGCCUUUCUUCCAAGGUGCCUCUGGGUGGACUCGAACCUCUAAACUUUCAACUAGCAACUGAGCACAUUAACCAUUUGUUUCACCCAGGGACCGCAUUUAUUCUCCAGGAACGGUCAGACUGGGGGCAGAGGGGGUGUCAUUCUGUCCCAGAGAGGUGGCCCUGUGGCCUGUAUCCACCUCUCACCUCAUUAAAUAAGACUUCAGGACCUUUCUGCACAGAAGGACUGAACUUGGAAUCACUUUCUCCUGCCCCAGCCCCUUACCAGGCCCUGUACUACAGCAGCAGAGAUGAGCCUUUUCCUCGGAUGGAGGGAGGAAGGUGAACUUUCUCCUGCUUACAGCUGCCCACGUUAGUUCAGGGACUGUGCCGGAAGUGGGGAGCAGAGAUGUUAAGAGAAAAGGAGGGGCUCAGCUACUGUUCAGAGCUAUUCUGUGUGUGUGUGCGUGUAUGUGUGUGAAAUGCUUCCUUCUAAAUGUGACUCAGCACUACGGUGGAGUCUUCAUGACAUAUAGAGGGGACAAUCUUUCACAUGCUCUGUGAUUCCACCCAUAAGACCAGAACAGGGAAAUUAACUAGGUGUAAUAAAUAAUAUAGAAUCUGGUGAAUAUUUAGGGUCUGGUAAUGAUGAUAAAUCAGGUUUGAAAUGUUCCUUGAGGAGAUUGUGAGAUUCUGAGAAAUGAAGCCAGGAAGAUUGAUUAGAACCUAUUGCUGCUUGGAAAACCUACCACGGGAAUUCAGGGAGGUAUUUCUAAGCUAAUAGGAAAGGUGAAUACAAUCCACCUUGGCCUCUAAAAACCAAAUGGAUGUAAUCAACAAAUGUCAUUGCUUUUACGGGUGAAUGCAUUGGAGAGCAAGCAACACCCCAGAACAGCUGGGGAGUGUUGAUUUGAUGGGUGCUGGCAAAGAAAGAACACAUUAUGCUUUGUCUAUGGUCCUCCUUUCCUCCAGACCCUGAGUGAUUGAUUGAUUUGUUCAUUUGUUUGUUUUUUCAUCUGUCCAAUUUUAAGGGAAGACCCCCACGGAAGAAAUAGAGUUCAUGUUUUUAAGAGUUUGUGCUAUCAGAAUUUGUUCCUUUUAGGGAUCACAUACUUGUUUUUUAGCUCUUGGUUUGAAGAUUCAUGUCUCACAUUUGGGGCGGAAGCUGUACCGGGUGGUAGGAUUACAUUAAAUGCUUUACUGAUUAAAUCAUUCCCUCCACACUCCCCCAAAUCUGACCCAACGUGGUGAGUGAAGCUAACAGUAUUGUCAAUUUGGAAGUCAUCUGGGGAGAGAGUAGCCUUAAUCUUAAAGUUAAAAAAAGGAAAAAAGAUAAAAAAGCAGGUAAAGUCUGGACUGUUUGUGAAUGAGAAGGAAACAUAAAGAAUGAAGGCAGGUGGGGAAGACCUGUAGUUAGUAGUCAGCAGAUUAGGGGUACAUUUGUGAUAUUACAGGAAGAGUAUGGCUUUGGGCUGUGCUGGGCCUGGUUUCACAGUCAGCUGUGUUACCUUGGGUGGGUUACUUAACUCCUCUGGCCCUCAGUUUCCUCCUGUGUAAAAUGGGGAAGAAUAAAUUGUAUCUCACAGGAAUUAAAGGAGAUAAUGUUUGUUGAUUGCCUGGCAUUGAAUCUGGCAAUCUGAACCUGAAUCUGGUUCCCUUCUCCCCAGCUGGUGGCCUACUGUCUUCACAUGUACCUGUGCACUCCUUGGCACAUAAAAGCAUUUGAUAUUUGUUGUUGAAUGUACAGAGCCAAGGAAUCAGAGAGGAGGGCCUCCCUCAACAGGCUAUUGGUCUCUUUUGUUUGGAAACUCGCGUAAAUUAUGGGAACCUGGUUGAACAUCAGGAGUCCCUGGGUGGCACGAAGAGUUAAGUGUACAUCUACUAACUGAAAGGUUGGCGGUUCAAAUCCAUCCAGAGGCACAUUGGAAGAAGGGCCUGGAGAUCUACAUCUGAAAGAUCAUAGCUAUUGAAAACUCUAUGGAGUGCAGUUCUACUCUGAAAUGCAUUGGGUCAUCAUGAGUCAGAAUCAACUCAACUGCAACUGGUUUGGUUUUGGUUGGUAGAACAUCAUGCUGCAGGGAAGGUGUGUGGUGGGAGACAGAGUCUUUACUUAUCUUCUGCACAUGUGCAUGCCACACACACCAUGCCAGGCAAAGCUAGGUUAGUACGUAUUCCACUACCUUCCCUGUAUUCUGUAUCCACUCCCCAAAGUCAAGAGAGACGAUGGUGGUGAACUAGGUACCAAAUUGGAGUAGAGACUUACGAUGUUUUUUCUUUCC